Cinara cedri is the source of this 212-nucleotide non-coding RNA. The record is from the annotation of a GenBank genome assembly. Lineage: Eukaryota; Metazoa; Arthropoda; Insecta; Hemiptera; Aphididae.
GUCCAAUUAAUGGGUGCCCUGAGCUUCCCAUUGGGAGCUUUCUAUUUUAGUCCUUAAAUCAAUUGCCCUUACCCAUCAUCAAGACUUUGCCCUACUACUGCACCUUCCAAACAUCAAAACUUUGUUUAGUAUUUUAGGUGGUUUUUUUUUUCCAGAACUGUAGUUUGAAAAAAAUUUCUGUGGGUUGGGAGGGCACCAUUAGUUUUUAUGUU